AGACCGGUGUUAAUGACUAAGAACCCUUUUCCAUAAAAAUAAUUCCCUAAUGUCUUAGGUCAAUUCAAAUUCAUAGAAAAAUUUAUGCACGUUAAUUCUAUUUAUCAUAGUUCAAUAAUCCGAUAUUUCUAAAACGACUAUUGACCAAACAAUUAUUUCAUAUUCAGGUUUCAAAAGUUAUGGUUAGUAAUCAUUCGAUUCCUAAAUUCAAUUCAUAAAUUCGUCAAUUCAUAAAAAGCAUUACACACAGAAAUAACUGAAUAACAAUAAUAUUAAAAAGGUCUCAAGGAUUCUCAACAAUUUACAUGGUUCAAAUCAAUUCAAGGAAGAUCAUCUACUAGUUCUAAUCAAAUAGAGAUUUAGCUACUCAUAAUUAAAUUAAUAAGCAACAUCAAGUAAUAAAAAAAGAAGAAAUAAAACCAGGAGGCUAUGUGAUGUACCACUGCCGUCAAUCGCUUCUCUGCCUUUUUUUCUCAAGUCUGCGUUCUGUCCUUUAGGUUAAAAGAAAGCUAAUAUAUAUAUAUGUGUAAUCAUGUGCCACUAGCUGAGCUGAGCAAAUCACGUAAGCAAGAUACGAAUUAAUUAUUAUGCUUGUGUCAUCCAACCAAUUUGCUGACGUCAUCAUGCUUUUGCAUAGCAAAAUCGUGUCCCUAGCAGAAUUACUUCGUGGCGCGAUAAAUCCAGAGUGUGCAAGCAUCUAACUGCUUUAAACUUGUGAAAUUUUUCUAAGCCUUUUUCUCCUUUGGUCUUUUGUCUUCAAACUCUUUGAUAUGUCAAUUUCUUUCAGAAAAUAUUCUCUUUUGACCAUGCAUUAUCUUUAAAAACUAACUAAAAUACUUAAAAUAAUUAUUAAAAAUACUCAAAUGACUGACUGUCAUCA
This 880-nucleotide long non-coding RNA is filed under the name Trifolium pratense (red clover). RNAcentral describes it as "long non-coding RNA (TPRA_LNC005210)". The record is from RNAcentral. Lineage: Eukaryota; Viridiplantae; Streptophyta; Magnoliopsida; Fabales; Fabaceae.